CUUCAGGAUGGAGCAAACUGAAUCUGCUGCUAUGCUUUCUAUUUUACAGGAUAUAUACUGUAUCAGAGCACUUGUGUGGAGUAGCGUAGAACAGAAGAAGAGAGCCAUUGUUGACUUAAACUACAGCCUCAAGCUGAAUCCUUCUCAUGUCUGUGCUUUAAUCAUAAGGGGUGCCAUCAUAAAUAAUCUUAUGGCCAAAGGGAGCCUGCAGCCUUUAGAAAAAAAUAAAGACCAUGAAAAGGCCUUUCAACUGUCCAAGAAGAAUCAACAGUUUUUUGAUGUGGAGGACUUCUCUAAUCUUAAAAUGGCAGACUUCUAUGAUAAUUACUUUGAAGAAUCUAUGGGAGUGAGAUAGGCAAGCACUGCCAGAAGCCAAUGUACAAAGAUAUCUGUGGUCGCUAAAUGUGUCUCACACAAUUAUGGAAAUCAGCUUUUUGUCUGGACAGUUAUUUAAUUCACAGUCAUCAUCCUUUCGUAAGAAUUUUGAAAGUGUUUGUUUUAGUGCACUAUCUUGCUUAUCUUGUUGUUG
This 529-nucleotide long non-coding RNA is filed under the name Struthio camelus australis. RNAcentral describes it as "lncRNA (ENSSCUG00000004397.1)". Lineage: Eukaryota; Metazoa; Chordata; Aves; Struthioniformes; Struthionidae. The record is from RNAcentral.